CCUACGGGAGGCAGCAGUGGGGAAUAUUGGACAAUGGGGGGAACCCUGAUCCAGCGACGCCGCGUGAGUGAAGAAGUAUUUCGGUAUGUAAAGCUCUAUCAGCAGGGAAGAAAGAAAUGACGGUACCUGACUAAGAAGCCCCGGCUAACUACGUGCCAGCAGCCGCGGUAAUACGGAGGGGGCAAGCGUUAUCCGGAUUUACUGGGUGUAAAGGGAGCGUAGACGGCGAUGCAAGUCUGAAGUGAAAGGCGGGGGCCCAACCCCCGGACUGCUUGGGAAACUGUAUGGCUGGAGUGCAGGAGAGGUAAGUGGAAUUCCUAGUGUAGCGGUGAAAUGCGUAGAUAUUAGGAGGAACACCAGUGGCGAAGGCGGCUUACUGGACUGUAACUGACGUUGAGGCUCGAAAGCGUGGGGAGCAAACAGGAUUAGAUACCCGUGUAGUC
RNAcentral lists this ribosomal RNA (443 nucleotides) under uncultured bacterium. Its description in RNAcentral is "partial 16S ribosomal RNA". It matches the Rfam family "Bacterial small subunit ribosomal RNA", at positions 338 to 795 of the family's 1533-position model. The record is from RNAcentral.